UGAGUACGAGAUGCUACGGCAUCGAAGCAGUCUAUGUCAUACUUCCAAGAAAAGCUUGCAAUGUCAUAAACAAAUAAUGCCUGUACCAUAACCGACACAGGUGGGUAGGUAGAGUAUACUAAGGGGCGCGAGAUAACUCUCUCUAAGGAACUCGGCAAAAUGACUCCGUAACUUCGGGAGAAGGAGUGCCUUAUUUUUAUAAGGUUGCAAUAACAAGAUCCAAGCAACUGUUUACCAAAAACACAGGUCUCCGCUAAGUCGUAAGACGAUGUAUGGGGGCUGACGCCUGCCCAGUGCCAGAAGGUUAAAGAAGUUGGUUAGCAUUAGCGAAGCAGAUAACUGAAGCCCUGGUGAACGGCGGCCGUAACAAUAACGGUCCUAAGGUAGCGAAAUUCCUUGUCGGGUAAGUUCCGACCCGCACGAAAGGCGUAAUGAUUUGGAUACUGUCUCGGAGAGGGGCUCGGUGAAAUAGACUUGUCUGUGAAGAUGCGGACUACCUGCACCUGGACAGAAAGACCCUAUGAAGCUUUACUGUAACUUGAGAUUGAAAUUGGACUUUAUCUGCGCAGUAUAGGUGGAGACGUUGAAAAUAUUCUUGCGGGAAUAUUGGAGUCAUCAGUGAGAUACCACUCUUAUAAUGUUAGAUUUCUAACUUUGUAUCAUUAUCUGGUCAAAGAACAGUUUCAGGCGGGCAGUUUGACUGGGGCGGUCGCCUCCCAAACGGUAACGGAGGCGCACAAAGGUUUCCUCUGAACGUGUAGAAAUCGUAUCUAGAGUGUAAAGGCAUAAGGAAGCUUGACUGUGAGACCUACAAGUCGAGCAGGGACGAAAGUCGGUCUUAGUGAUCUGACGGUGCUGAGUGGAAAGGCCGUCACUCAACGGAUAAAAGUUACUCUAGGAUAACAGGCUGAUCUCCCCCAAGAGUUCACAUCGACGGGGAGGUUUGGCACCUCGAUGUCGGCUCAUCGCAUCCUGGGGCGGUAGUACGUCCCAAGGGUUGGGCUGUUCGCCCAUGAAAGCGGUACGCGAGCUGGGUUCAGAACGUCGUGAGACAGUUCGGUCCAUAUCCGGUGUAGGCGUUAGAAUAUUGAGAGGAGCCUUCUUUAGUACGAGAGGACCGAGAAGGACAUACCUCUGGUGUACCAGUUAUCGUGCCAACGGUAAACGCUGGGUAGCCAUGUAUGGAGAGGAUAACCGCUGAAAGCAUCUAAGUGGGAAGCCCACCUCAAGAUAAGUAUUC
RNAcentral lists this ribosomal RNA (1240 nucleotides) under metagenome. RNAcentral's name for it is "bacterial LSU rRNA". It matches the Rfam family "Bacterial large subunit ribosomal RNA", at positions 1564 to 2813 of the family's 2925-position model. The record is from RNAcentral.